CUCAUGUUUCACUUACCCAAAAUAAUUCAUAUAAAAGAAAGGAGGACCACAGAAAAGCGAGAUAUCAUUCCUCACUCUCUCUUCGCAACAACGCUUUGGACACUCUCCCUGGUCGAGCACUCUGAUAGAAGAAAUCAUGGUUUUGAAAAGAGAAGGAAACGCCAUUGCCAUGAUGAUUGCGAAGAAACAGAUCCACACACUGAAGGCAGUCUGGAACUCCGUGAAGGAGCAGGAGAAGAAACUGAAGGACAUUCAGGCGAGGGUAGAGCUCACACGGAUGAUGAUACACGGGGCUAGAUCGGUGCUCAGAGACGACGACACACAUGACAAAGCUGACAAGUAAUGCACCGAGAAGCAUAACAGCGAGGUUUGAGACAAGACAGCGGUGAUCAUGAGACGUCUGGUUUCGACGAGAUCGAGCAUCAAGACACAUCACAGCAGAUCUCACUACGUCAUCCCUGACGUGGCCCCAUCCUGAUGCGUCAUAGCUAUCACGUGAUGGUGUACACCCAACAAUCUAUUCUGUGAAUAGUCAAAAUGACAAACAUACUUUUGUUUUGUCACUACGUAUUUGUUUUAAGUUACAUUGAUAUUGUUCAACAAAAUUCAAUAACAUAUGAAUGGCAAUGUUGAUACACCCUCAUGCAGGAGUCUAUUCUGUGAAUUGUUCGCAUGACGAUAUUACUUCUGUCUAGAACGCCAAAGAAUAGUGACUUUUGUUUUGUCAUGAUUUAUCUUGUUCAACGCAAGUUUCUUACAAAAUUCAAUAAUGCAAGGAUGGUAUUGUUGACAAACUCUAGAGAACCCGUCUUAUAGAUAUUCAGAAUGACGAUAUUGCUUACGUUUUGUUUUAAUCUAGUUGGAACAUGUUGAUGACAACUCUCACAGCAACGAACAUAUCACUUGUCAAAAUGUCCAGAAACUUUGAUUUUUCUUUGAAGGCCUGAAGUAUUAUAGUGCUCGGAUGUUACUAUUUUUAUCUAUAAAUGUAGAUGGCUCAAAACAUUGGCCAAACUCAAUCAACUUAUUUUAAGUAAUGACUUAACUUAAAGGCAA
Molecule: RNA transcript, 1056 nt
Organism: Branchiostoma floridae (Florida lancelet)
Lineage: Eukaryota; Metazoa; Chordata; Leptocardii; Amphioxiformes; Branchiostomatidae
Exons: 4
Source: RefSeq, a predicted model, not a curated record